RNAcentral lists this ribosomal RNA (500 nucleotides) under uncultured bacterium. RNAcentral describes it as "bacterial SSU rRNA". It matches the Rfam family "Bacterial small subunit ribosomal RNA", at positions 903 to 1397 of the family's 1533-position model. The record is from RNAcentral.
AAAGGAAUUGACGGGGGCCCGCACAAGCGGUGGAGUAUGUGGUUUAAUUCGAUGCAACGCGAAGAACCUUACCUGGUCUUGACAUCCCGGAAAUCCCUUGGAAACUUGGGAGUGCUUCCAUUAGGAAGAGUCCGGAGACAGGUGCUGCAUGGCUGUCGUCAGCUCGUGUCGUGAGAUGUUGGGUUAAGUCCCGCAACGAGCGCAACCCUUGCCUUUAGUUGCCAGCAGUUCGGCUGGGCACUCUAAAGGGACUGCCGGUGUCAAACCGGAGGAAGGUGGGGAUGACGUCAAGUCCUCAUGGCCUUUAUGACCAGGGCUACACACGUACUACAAUGGCCGAUACAAAGGGCAGCGACAUUGCGAAAUGAAGCCAAUCCCAUAAAAUCGGUCUCAGUCCGGAUUGGAGUCUGCAACUCGACUCCAUGAAGUUGGAAUCGCUAGUAAUCGUGGAUCAGCAUGCCACGGUGAAUACGUUCCCGGGCCUUGUACACACCGCCCGU